AGAGUUCAAGGUCUUAAUGGCUACUCUAUGCGGCCUCUCAUAGUCUUUUCAAGGGUUUUGGAGAAGAAUAAAAGAUCAGAUGAGUCAAUGGUGUUACUGGACCCUGUGAACUGAUGCUGUGAAGAGAGGCCAUUUAACACGGACUACGGGGAAUGGUGCCACAGGGGGCUCAGUGCUGCCCUUCACUCUCAGCAUUUUGCUCACUCAGCAUUGAUGACAGGAUGUCCCAAAAGUAACAAAAGAUGGGAGCCAGUCCUCUCAUAGCUGUUUCUUCAAUCAUCCCAUCAACAGCUCUUCAUUUAUUGAACUACCUUCCUUUUCCAAAGAGGUAAUGCUGAGAUCAGUCAGAAAGGCUUUCUGAGAAAACUGGCUUGGAUUUCUGGGUCUGUUGCAGUCAAUUCAAGAUGAACUGGCUUGUAUCAAUGAAGCGCUCAAUGCAGUUCACAAAACAGGCCUCAGCCCGACUGUCCAACUUUGGCCCAGGCUUGUCCAUGCACUUCUCCCAACAAAGUUCAGUCAUCUGGUGCACCAGCUGCUGGAAGCGCUGCUUUUGAGUCUCUACCUCAAUGAAAAUGCUGCAACUGCGGGUCCACUGCACCCAAACCCGCCGCAGAGGAAGAGCAGGAGGAAUCCAUCCCAGGACAACCAUGCUUGCAGAGACGAACUCCGCACCAACCUUCACGUGUCUCCACGACCUAGUUAAUCAAUUUAAAAUGAGGUCACUAGGGUGGGCCCCAAUCCAAUAUGACUGAUAACUUUAUAAAAAGGAGAGAUUUGGAUACAGAAAGAGACAGAGUGAAAACCAUGUGAAGAAACAUAGGAAAAGAUGGCAGCUACAAGCCAAGGAGAAGCUUGCAGUGUGUAUUCAUCUGUUCUCAUGCUGUUAAUAAAGACAUACCUGAGACUGGGUAAUUUA
RNAcentral lists this long non-coding RNA (916 nucleotides) under Homo sapiens (human). RNAcentral's name for it is "DPP4 divergent transcript (DPP4-DT)". Lineage: Eukaryota; Metazoa; Chordata; Mammalia; Primates; Hominidae. The record is from RNAcentral.